This is a non-coding RNA of OM182 bacterium, 36 nucleotides long. Lineage: Bacteria; Pseudomonadati; Pseudomonadota; Gammaproteobacteria. The record is from Rfam.
AUUAAUAACCAAGGUCGAGAACCUUAAAAAAUUAAC